CACGUAGGGCGCGAGCGUUGUCCGGAAUUAUUGGGCGUAAAGAGCUCGUAGGCGGUCUGUUGCGUCUGCUGUGAAAACUCGGGGCUUAACCCCGAGCCUGCAGUGGAUACGGGCAGACUAGAGGUAGGUAGGGGAGAAUGGAAUUCCCGGUGUAGCGGUGAAAUGCGCAGAUAUCGGGAGGAACACCGGUGGCGAAGGCGGUUCUCUGGGCCUUACCUGACGCUGAGGAGCGAAAGCGUGGGGAGCGAACAGG
Molecule: ribosomal RNA, 253 nt
Filed under: uncultured bacterium
Lineage: Bacteria
Description: partial 16S ribosomal RNA
Rfam family: Bacterial small subunit ribosomal RNA
Source: RNAcentral